GCCACAUUUCCCGCACCACGCUGCGCAGCGGGGAUUCGGCGCUGGGCUCUUCCCUGUUCACUCGCUGUUACUGAGGGAAUCCUGGUUAGUUUCUUUUCCUCCGCUGACUAAUAUGCUUAAAUUCAGUGGGUCGCCAUGUCUGAUCUGAGGUCGCGCGGCGCGGAGCGGGAA
Molecule: long non-coding RNA, 171 nt
Organism: Dipodomys spectabilis (banner-tailed kangaroo rat)
Lineage: Eukaryota; Metazoa; Chordata; Mammalia; Rodentia; Heteromyidae
Exons: 3
Source: RefSeq, a predicted model, not a curated record